CUAAGCACUAAAAUCUUUGGAUUAAAACUUAAAGAACAUGGCGGCCAUUAAAAACUUCAGGGGAACUUACCAGAUAAUAGAUAAUCCGCAAGACACACAACUUAACUUUAUAGUUUGCAUACCGCCGUUUUCAGGUCCCGUUUAUGACGGCGCCAAAAUGCUAAAACAACAAGACAGGUCAUGGCGCAGCCUAUGGUUAAGACUUAAGGUGAGUUACAAUAAGAAAUUUUUUCGGAUUUUAAACUAAGUUACAAUGAAGCUGGACUUGAAAGUAAUUCUUAUAAACACUAAGUAUAGUUUGAAUACCAUUUUUGAUGGUGC
Molecule: ribosomal RNA, 321 nt
Filed under: Melayonchis annae
Lineage: Eukaryota; Metazoa; Mollusca; Gastropoda; Systellommatophora; Onchidiidae
Description: partial 12S ribosomal RNA
Source: RNAcentral